CCGGUACCUUUAGAAGUUGCAAACAACGAACGUUUUUAUUUACAGAAUCUACUAAUUUUCUGAUCGCUUCGGAUGAUUCUGUUUUGCAGUAUGGAGAAGUUCCCAUGCUACAGUAUAGUUAUCAUCGGAAAGCGUGAUACUCUGAAUGAUUCUUAGGGCUUCAUCGGAUAAUGUUGAUUUUAAAUAUUGAAAUUUCUGCACCUUAGAAAGAUUUGAGUUACUAUCUAUAAUUGCUGAAAAGCUGUCACGAAACUCCAACCACAUAUUCAUGUCACCAUUAAACUUUGAGGUUGACGGCAAGACAUUUUCGAUGGAAGAAAUAGCUUUUGCUUUAGAAACUGAUGAAUAAAAUAAAGUUUCAAAUUCAUUAAGCUCUUCUACAUUAUUUGUAGAAGU
Long non-coding RNA from Photinus pyralis (common eastern firefly), 396 nucleotides. RefSeq lists it as uncharacterized. Lineage: Eukaryota; Metazoa; Arthropoda; Insecta; Coleoptera; Lampyridae. The transcript has 3 exons. The record is from RefSeq and is a predicted model, not a curated record.